UUCGCGCCGCGCUGCUCGCCUGGGCAGGCCCGCGGGGGACCUGUGGAGCGGGCGCCGCGCGGGUCGUGGCCGCUUUCAGUCGUUCCGAGGGUGGCGCCGGGGUUCUUUUCACGUGUGACUGCCGUGAAACAGCCGAGACAUAGGAAGUCAGAGGUGUUGGAUCUACUGAGCUGGAGUUACAGAUAGUUGUGAGUCAUUUGAUAUAGCGGCUGGAAAGUGAAUUCAAGUCUUCUGCAAGAGCAGGAAGACCAUGUGAGGACACAGGGAGAAGGUGCAGCUUGAAGCCAAGGACAAAGGCCUCCGAAGAAACCACCACUGCUGAUGCUUCAGUCAAAGCCUGCCAGCCUCCAGAAUUGUGAGACAAUACAUUUCUGUGGGCCAGGAUUUUCUUUUCUAGAAACCAUAGCAAAAUAACAGACUGUCCUUAUUUUACUAGUGUAACAUUUACUUAAAGGUUGACACAUGUUGAAGACGUGUGUUAUAGUCUCAUUUCUUUGUGUGCCUAAGUAAUAUCUCAUUGUCCAAAAGACUGCAUUUUGCUUAUCUGUUCAUUUGCUGAGAGACACCUGGAUUGUUUCCAGCUUGGCUAUUGUGAAUGUGCUGCUUUGAGCAUGGUGUGCAAAUUACCUGUUU
Non-coding RNA from Peromyscus maniculatus bairdii (prairie deer mouse), 633 nucleotides. The record is from RefSeq and is a predicted model, not a curated record. NCBI's taxonomy places the organism in Eukaryota, Metazoa, Chordata, Mammalia, Rodentia, Cricetidae.